GUAGGGAAUAUUGGGCAAUGGUCGGAAGACUGACCCAGCCAUGCCGCGUGCAGGAAGACGGCCCUCUGGGUUGUAAACUGCUUUUAUCUGGGAAGAAAAAGGCCAUGCGUGGCAAAUUGCCGGUACCAGAUGAAUAAGCACCGGCUAACUCCGUGCCAGCAGCCGCGGUAAUACGGAGGGUGCGAGCGUUGUCCGGAUUUAUUGGGUUUAAAGGGUGCGUAGGCGGCUGAUUAAGUCAGCGGUGAAAGACUUCGGCUUAACCGGAGCAGUGCCGUUGAUACUGGUUGGCUUGAGUGUCGGAGGGGUACAUGGAAUUGAUGGUGUAGCGGUGAAAUGAAUAGAUACCAUCAGGAACACCGAUAGCGAAGGCAUUGUACUGGCCGACAACUGACGCUGAUGCACGAAAGUGUGGGGAUCGAACAGGAUUAGAAACACCAGUAGUCC
Molecule: ribosomal RNA, 444 nt
Filed under: uncultured bacterium
Lineage: Bacteria
Description: partial 16S ribosomal RNA
Rfam family: Bacterial small subunit ribosomal RNA
Source: RNAcentral